This 500-nucleotide ribosomal RNA is filed under the name uncultured bacterium. RNAcentral's name for it is "bacterial SSU rRNA". It matches the Rfam family "Bacterial small subunit ribosomal RNA", at positions 8 to 507 of the family's 1533-position model. The record is from RNAcentral.
AGAGUUUGAUCAUGGCUCAGGAUGAACGCUGGCGGCAUGCCUAAUACAUGCAAGUCGAACGGAAUCUUAUAUGUUCCUCGUUUCGGAUUUAGUUCCGAGUUGGGGAACAAUAAGAUUUAGUGGCGGACGGGUGAGUAACACGUUGGUACCUACCCUCUAGUGGGGGAAUAACUUCGAGAAAUCGAGGCUAAUACCGCAUAAUAUCUACGGAUUAAAGCAUUUAUGCGCUAGAGGAGGGGCCUGCGUCUGAUUAGCUUGUUGGUGAGGUAAAAAGCUCACCAAGGCGACGAUCAGUAGCUGGAUCGAGAGGUUGACCAGCCACACUGGGACUGAGAUACGGCCCAGACUCCUACGGGAGGCAGCAGUAAGGAAUCUUCCACAAUGGGCGAAAGCCUGAUGGAGCAAUGCCGCGUGCAGGAUGACGGCCUUCGGGUUGUAAACUGCUUUUAUAUAGGAAGAUUAUGACGGUACCAUAUGAAUAAGGACCGGCUAACUACGUG